UUGUCCUCCCUCUUUCUUUCCUUCUUGCUCCCUUUCUCUCUAGUUUUUUCGUGGGUUUUUUUGUUAUUUUUUUUUCUUUUUUUUUUUUUUUUAUCUUCCUUCCUUUUCCUACUCCUUGUUUCUUUCUCUCCCUGGCUUUUGUGCCAGGGGCCGUGACGAAUGGCUCAGAAAAGAGGGUGCUGUGAGAAACUGGAGCUGCUGCUGGCAGAGUGGGUGCUCUUUCAUCAUCUGCCUGCCUCCCUCCAGCCUCCCCGUGGUUCCUCCAAGGUUCCUUUGUGGUCCUAAUCAAAGCCUGACAGGAGCCAACAAACAGCUGUCAGGUGUGACAAUGUCCAUUGCCUUACCCUGGCAGAGUUUCUUGACCUGGGCUGGCACAAGGAAUAGGAGUAACAUCUCAAGGUGCUUUGGCUGUGGAGGACAUUACUCUUCUGAUGGCACCACUUGGACUUUGAAGAGCUUUCACUGUCCUCAGAAAGGUGUGUUCUGGGGCACGGGGACAGGCACCUCCUUCGCAGAAGCAACUCUGUGAGGAGUUGGAUCAGCCGAGGUCCCUCUGGCAGGAGAAGAGACCUCCACACUGGACCAGGCAGCCUAGACUGCCAGACGUGUCCCAUGGGUACCUGGUAAUGGUGCCACUCAUUUCCACAGAACCACGGAAUGGUAGGGGUUGAAAGAGCUCUCGAAACAUCAUCUAGUCAGAGCAGGAGGGGGUUUCCCUGCAGGCACAUCCAGAGGUCCAUCAUGCAACAUACCCUGCAGUAGGACAAUCCCUACCCAGCUCUCACUGGAAGCUCCCAGUGCCACCCAACUCCUACUCUCCUGCUCUACCUCAACCUGCCCUGCUGCCCCGGAGCUCGCUCUGAGCCAACCUUGGCUCCUCGUCUUAUGCAAGUAGAGAUGAAAAUAAACUCCAGUGAAGGGUC
Pogoniulus pusillus (Red-fronted tinkerbird) is the source of this 923-nucleotide long non-coding RNA. RefSeq lists it as uncharacterized. The record is from RefSeq and is a predicted model, not a curated record. The transcript is spliced from 3 exons. NCBI's taxonomy places the organism in Eukaryota, Metazoa, Chordata, Aves, Piciformes, Lybiidae.